UGGUUCAAACUUUUUAUAGGAAGAGCAAGGAAAGAGGGCAGUUUCUGCCAUUGUUUUCACCUCAUGACAUUGACAAACAUACAACACUUCAUCUCUUCAACUAUAAAUCAUCAGCAGAAAGAGACUAUUCUUUUCCCACCACAAAUUUUACCAGUGCUCUUUACUCUCUUCCACAGAGAUCUUCGCUCUUGAAUGCAUAUUUCCCCUGAGGUUUAUGAAAUAACACCCAAAAAUUUCUAACAUGUAAACACUUAAUCGUUCCAAGGAUCAUUCUCUGCCCUCACUUCUGAUGGUUCAACUACUUCUGGC
RNAcentral lists this unclassified non-coding RNA (309 nucleotides) under Hevea brasiliensis (rubber tree). The record is from RNAcentral. Lineage: Eukaryota; Viridiplantae; Streptophyta; Magnoliopsida; Malpighiales; Euphorbiaceae.